This 286-nucleotide unclassified non-coding RNA is filed under the name Hevea brasiliensis (rubber tree). Lineage: Eukaryota; Viridiplantae; Streptophyta; Magnoliopsida; Malpighiales; Euphorbiaceae. The record is from RNAcentral.
GCCGUCCGAUCAAGAAAUCCUUCUGGUAGUAUCUCUUCCGCAUUUGCAUAAUCACUUGGAAGGUCCAGACUUCCCUUGGGUGGUUCACGGAUGGACCACAAGAACCGAAAGCCGGACCGCUCGAGCCCAAACGCUAUCUCUCGCAACUGUGAUCUACCAAGACUGCCCAUGCUCCCAAAGCACAAGAACACCACCGACGACCUAGGCUGAUCAUCAAGCCAUUUCAUUAUAUUGUGUUGUUGGUCCCGGUCCGGAUGCCAUUCGAUUGGACCUGCAAGGUCAAGAA